GACAGACCACUGAGUGAGACCUUCAACGGACAUUUACCAAACUCCAAUCAACAGAGAAAAGAGAGGAGAGGAGGAGGAGAAGCAACUGUCAACAGAAGAGGAGGAAGAAGAAUGAGUAAAUGAAAUGGACAAAAACGAUGGGACCUGCAAAUGCAAAGCAAAGCAGGUCACAGAACAAAUUGGGCGUUGGAUUAAGAAUAUAACAGAAAAGGCCUGGUUAGCCUCCUGAAUUACAAGCAAUAUAUAACAAUGAUACAGAACAGAUCCCUCCCCUAGUUAAAAAGGAUAUAAUACAUUCUCUCUCCCUUCCUACUCUUCAAAACUGAGCACAUCUGCU
RNAcentral lists this unclassified non-coding RNA (337 nucleotides) under Hevea brasiliensis (rubber tree). Lineage: Eukaryota; Viridiplantae; Streptophyta; Magnoliopsida; Malpighiales; Euphorbiaceae. The record is from RNAcentral.